AGAGCGUACGGUGGAUGCCUUGGCACCAGGAGCCGAUGAAGGACGUAGGAGGCUGCGAUAAGCCUCGGGGGGGAGCUGUCAACCGAGCUGUGAUCCGAGGAUGUCCGAAUGGGGGAAACCCAGCACGAGUGAUGUCGUGUUACCCGCGCCUGAAUAUAUAGGGCGUGUGGAGGGAACGUGGGGGAAGUGAAACAUCUCAGUACCCACAGGAAGAGAAAACAACCGUGAUUCCGUGAGUAGUGGCGAGCGAAAGCGGAAGAGGCUAAACCAUGGGUGUGUGAUAGCCGGCAGGUGUUGCAUUCGUGGGGGUUGUGGGGGUUCAUUUUGUCAAUACUGCCGUGUUGGCCAACAGUAAGAAAUCACAGGGUUAGUGGAAGUGGUCUGGAACGGCCUGUCGUAGAGGGUGAGAAUCCCGUACACGAAAACUUUGUGACUGUUGUAAUGGAAACCCAAGUAGCACCGGGCCCGUGAAAUCUGGUGUGAAUCUGUCGGGACCACCCGAUAAGCCUGAAUACUCCCUGGUGACCGAUAGCGGACUAGUACCGUGAGGGAAAGGUGAAAAGUACCCCCGGGAGGGGAGUGAAAUAGUACCUGAAACCGUGCGCUUACAAUCCGUCAGAGCCUUCGAGCAGUUUACUGCUGGGGGGGUGAUGGCGUGCCUUUUGAAGAAUGAGCCUGCGAGUUAGUGGCAUGUCGCGAGGUUAACCCGUGUGGGGGUAGCCGUAGCGAAAGCGAGUCCGAAUAGGGCGAUCGUAGUGGCAUGCUCUAGACCCGAAGCGGAGUGAUCUACCCAUGGCCAGGUUGAAGCGACGGUAAGACGUCGUGGAGGACCGAACCCACUUAGGUUGAAAACUGAGGGGAUGAGUUGUGGGUAGGGGGUGAAAGGCCAAUCAAACUCCGUGAUAGCUGGUUCUCCCCGAAAUGCAUUUAGGUGCAGCGUCGCGUGUUUCUCACCGGAGGUAGAGCUACUGGAUGGUCUAGGGGGGGGCCCACAAGCUUACCGAAAUCAGCCAAACUCCGAAUGCCGGUGAGUGAGAGCGCGGCAGUGAGACUGCGGGCGAUAAGUUCGUAGUCGAGAGGGAAACAGCCCAGAUCGCCAGCUAAGGUCCCUAAGCGUGUACUAAGUGGAAAAGGAUGUGGGGGUCGCGAAGACAACCAGGAGGUUGGCUUAGAAGCAGCCACCCUUGAAAGAGUGCGUAAUAGCUCACUGGUCAAGUGAUCCUGCGCCGACAAUGUAGCGGGGGCUCAAGUACACCACCGAAGCUGCGGCAUUCACGCAAUAGCCCCCCCCAGUUGAUCCACGGAUUUUCUGGCAGGUGUGUGGAUGGGUAGGGGGGAGCGUCGUGUGGCCAUGGAAGCGGCAGGGUGACCUAGCCGUGGAGGCCACACGAGUGAGAAUGCAGGCAUGAGUAGCGAAAGACGAGUGAGAAACUCGUCCGCCGAAUGACCAAGGGUUCCUGGGCCAGGUUAAUCCGCCCAGGGUGAGUCGGGACCUAAGACGAGGCCGACAGGCGUAGCCGAUGGACAACGGGUUGAUAUUCCCGUACCCGUGUGAACGCGCCCAUGGUGAAUCAGUGAUACUAACCAUCCUGAAGCCACGAGAAGACCUUCGGGUCUCGAGUUGGUGGAUGCAUGGGACCUGAUCUGGUAGUAGCCAAGCGAUGGGGGUGACGCAGGAAGGUAGCUGAGCCAGUCAGUGGUAAUACUGGUGUAAGCGUGUAGGGCGUGACCUAGGCAAAUCCGGGUCGCACAUAGCCUGAGACGUGAUGCGUAGCCGAUUGAGGCGAAUUCAGUGAUCCUAUGCUGCCGAGAAAAGCCUCUAGCGAGCUUUCACACGGCCCGUACCCCAAACCGACACAGGUGGUCAGGUAGAGAAUACUAAGGCGAUCGAGAUAACUAUGGUUAAGGAACUCGGCAAAAUGCCCCCCCGUAACUUCGGGAGAAGGGGGGGCCCUGUCUGGUGACGACAUUUACUGUCUGAGCUGGGUGGGGCCGCAGAGACCAGUGAGAAGCGACUGUUUACUAAAAACACAGGUCCGUGCGAAGUCGUAAGACGAUGUAUACGGACUGACGCCUGCCCGGUGCUGGAAGGUUAAGAGGACCGGUUAGUUCCUUCGGGAGCGAAGCUGAGAAUUUAAGCCCCCCCAGUAAACGGCGGUGGUAACUAUAACCAUCCUAAGGUAGCGAAAUUCCUUGUCGGGUAAGUUCCGACCUGCACGAAUGGCGUAACGACUUCUCAGCUGUCUCAACCGUAGACUCGGCGAAAUUGCAUUACGAGUAAAGAUGCUCGUUACGCGCGGCAGGACGAAAAGACCCCGGGACCUUCACUACAGCUUGGUAUUGGUGUUCGGUUCGGUUUGUGUAGGAUAGGUGGGAGACUGUGAAGCGGUGACGCCAGUUAUCGUGGAGUCGUUGUUGAAAUACCACUCUGAUCGAAUUGGACCUCUAACCUCGGACCAUGAUCUGGUUCAGGGACAGUGCCUGGUGGGUAGUUUAACUGGGGGGGCGGUUGCCUCCCAAAAUGUAACGGAGGCGCCCAAAGGUUCCCUCAGCCUGGUUGGCAAUCAGGUGUCGAGUGCAAGUGCACAAGGGAGCUUGACUGUGAGACUGACAGGUCGAGCAGGGACGAAAGUCGGGACUAGUGAUCCGGCACCGGCAAGUGGAAGCGGUGUCGCUCAACGGAUAAAAGGUACCCCCCCGGGGAUAACAGGCUGAUCUUCCCCAAGAGUCCAUAUCGACGGGAUGGUUUGGCACCUCGAUGUCGGCUCGUCGCAUCCUGGGGGCUGGAGUAGGUCCCAAGGGUUGGGCUGUUCGCCCAUUAAAGCGGCACGCGAGCUGGGUUUAGAACGUCGUGAGACAGUUCGGUCUCUAUCCGCCGCGCGCGUUAGAAACUUGAGGAAGGCUGUCCCUAGUACGAGAGGACCGGGACGGACGAACCUCUGGUGUGCCAGUUGUUCCGCCAGGAGCACCGCUGGUUAGCUACGUUCGGAAGGGAUAACCGCUGAAAGCAUCUAAGCGGGAAGCCUGUUCCAAGAUGAGGUUUCUCACCCCCCCUCGAGGGGGUAAGGCCCCCCCCGGCAGACCACCGGGUUGA
Molecule: ribosomal RNA, 3094 nt
Filed under: Rhodococcus qingshengii JCM 15477
Lineage: Bacteria; Bacillati; Actinomycetota; Actinomycetes; Mycobacteriales; Nocardiaceae
Description: bacterial LSU rRNA
Rfam family: Bacterial large subunit ribosomal RNA
Source: RNAcentral